This 466-nucleotide ribosomal RNA is filed under the name uncultured bacterium. Its description in RNAcentral is "partial 16S ribosomal RNA". It matches the Rfam family "Bacterial small subunit ribosomal RNA", at positions 28 to 507 of the family's 1533-position model. The record is from RNAcentral.
GAUGAACGCUGGCGGUGUGCUUAACACAUGCAAGUCGAACGGAAAGGCCCAAGCUUGCUUGGGUACUCGAGUGGCGAACGGGUGAGUAACACGUGGGUGAUCUGCCCUGCACUUCGGGAUAAGCCUGGGAAACUGGGUCUAAUACCGGAUAGGACCACAUUUUGGAUGGUGUGGUGGAAAGUUUUUCGGUGUGGGAUGAGCUCGCGGCCUAUCAGCUUGUUGGUGGGGUAAUGGCCUACCAAGGCGUCGACGGGUAGCCGGCCUGAGAGGGUGUACGGCCACAUUGGGACUGAGAUACGGCCCAGACUCCUACGGGAGGCAGCAGUGGGGAAUAUUGCACAAUGGGCGCAAGCCUGAUGCAGCGACGCCGCGUGGGGGAUGACGGCCUUCGGGUUGUAAACUCCUUUCGCUAGGGACGAAGCGUUAUGUGACGGUACCUGGAGAAGAAGCACCGGCUAACUACGUG